This 79-nucleotide transfer RNA is filed under the name Bacteriophage sp. Its description in RNAcentral is "tRNA-Cys". It matches the Rfam family "tRNA". From Rfam's summary of the family: Transfer RNA (tRNA) molecules are approximately 80 nucleotides in length. Their secondary structure includes four short double-helical elements and three loops (D, anti-codon, and T loops). Further hydrogen bonds mediate the characteristic L-shaped molecular structure. tRNAs have two regions of fundamental functional importance: the anti-codon, which is responsible for specific mRNA codon recognition, and the 3' end, to which the tRNAs corresponding amino acid is attached (by aminoacyl-tRNA synthetases). tRNAs cope with the degeneracy of the genetic code in two manners: having more than one tRNA (with a specific anti-codon) for a particular amino acid; and 'wobble' base-pairing, i.e. permitting non-standard base-pairing at the 3rd anti-codon position. The record is from RNAcentral. RNAcentral also lists the same sequence under 1 other name.
GUCUGGAUGCCUGAGUGGUCUAAGGGAACGGUCUGCAAAACCGUGUUUCGUGGGUUCGAAUCCCACUCCAGAUUCUACA